UACGUAGGGGGCAAGCGUUAUCCGGAUUUACUGGGUGUAAAGGGAGCGUAGGCGGCUUAGUAAGUCAGAAGUGAAAGCCCGCAGCUCAACUGCGGGACUGCUUUUGAAACUGUGUGACUGGAGUGCAGGAGAGGUAAGCGGAAUUCCUGGUGUAGCGGUGGAAUGCGUAGAUAUUAGGAGGAACACCAGAGGCGAAGGCGACUCACUGGACUGUAACUGACGCUGAGGCACGAAGGCCAGGGGAGCGAAAGGG
This 253-nucleotide ribosomal RNA is filed under the name uncultured Lachnospiraceae bacterium. Its description in RNAcentral is "partial 16S ribosomal RNA". It matches the Rfam family "Bacterial small subunit ribosomal RNA", at positions 524 to 776 of the family's 1533-position model. Lineage: Bacteria; Bacillati; Bacillota; Clostridia; Lachnospirales; Lachnospiraceae. The record is from RNAcentral.